Molecule: transfer RNA, 88 nt
Filed under: Prevotellaceae bacterium
Lineage: Bacteria; Pseudomonadati; Bacteroidota; Bacteroidia; Bacteroidales; Prevotellaceae
Description: tRNA-Ser
Rfam family: tRNA
About the family: Transfer RNA (tRNA) molecules are approximately 80 nucleotides in length. Their secondary structure includes four short double-helical elements and three loops (D, anti-codon, and T loops).
Source: RNAcentral
GGAGAAAUGGCCGGGUGGUCGAAGGCACGCGCCUGGAAAGUGCGAAUACUCCAAAAGGGUAUCAAGGGUUCGAAUCCCUUUUUCUCCG